UACGUAGAUGGCAAGCGUUGUCCGGAUUUACUGGGCGUAAAGAGCGCGCAGGCGGUUGGAUAAGUCGAAUGUGAAAGCCCCCGGCUCAACUGGGGAGGGUCAUUCGAUACUGUCCGACUCGAAGGCAGGAGAGGGAAGCGGAAUUCCCGGUGUAGUGGUGAAAUGCGUAGAUAUCGGAAGGAACACCAGUGGCGAAAGCGGCUUCCUGGUCCAGCACCGACGUUCAGGCACGAAAGCGUGGGGAGCAAACAGG
This 253-nucleotide ribosomal RNA is filed under the name uncultured bacterium. RNAcentral describes it as "partial 16S ribosomal RNA". It matches the Rfam family "Bacterial small subunit ribosomal RNA", at positions 524 to 776 of the family's 1533-position model. The record is from RNAcentral.